GGUGAAUUAGCUUCUGCUCCCCCUC
RNAcentral lists this non-coding RNA (25 nucleotides) under Mus musculus (house mouse). Lineage: Eukaryota; Metazoa; Chordata; Mammalia; Rodentia; Muridae. The record is from RNAcentral.